UGGCGGACGGGUGAGUAACGCGUGGGUAACCUGCCCUGUACAGGGGGACAACAGCUGGAAACGGCUGCUAAUACCGCAUAAGCCUGCAGUACCGCAUGGCACAGCAGGGAAAACUCCGGUGGUACAGGAUGGGCCCGCGUCUGAUUAGUUAGUUGGCGGGGUAACGGCCCACCAAGACGACGAUCAGUAGCCGGCUUGAGAGAGUGGACGGCCACAUUGGGACUGAGACACGGCCCAAACUCCUACGGGAGGCAGCAG
RNAcentral lists this ribosomal RNA (258 nucleotides) under uncultured bacterium. RNAcentral's name for it is "partial 16S ribosomal RNA". It matches the Rfam family "Bacterial small subunit ribosomal RNA", at positions 96 to 354 of the family's 1533-position model. The record is from RNAcentral.